GCCCUAGGUAGCUCAGAUGGACAGAGCAUCUGCUGUGUAAGCAGGAGAUCCCAGGUUCGAAUCCUGGUCAGGGCA
Molecule: non-coding RNA, 75 nt
Organism: Schistocerca gregaria
Lineage: Eukaryota; Metazoa; Arthropoda; Insecta; Orthoptera; Acrididae
Source: the annotation of a RefSeq genome assembly